GUGUAAGGCUAGCAUGACUUAGUGCUUGUCGAGCGGACAGAAGGGAGCUUGCUCCCGGAUGUUAGCGGCGGACGGGUGAGUAACACGUGGGUAACCUGCCUGUAAGACUGGGAUAACUCCGGGAAACCGGAGCUAAUACCGGAUAGUUCCUUGAACCGCAUGGUUCAAGGAUGAAAGACGGUUUCGGCUGUCACUUACAGAUGGACCCGCGGCGCAUUAGCUAGUUGGUGGGGUAAUGGCUCACCAAGGCGACGAUGCGUAGCCGACCUGAGAGGGUGAUCGGCCACACUGGGACUGAGACACGGCCCAGACUCCUACGGGAGGCAGCAGUAGGGAAUCUUCCGCAAUGGACGAAAGUCUGACGGAGCAACGCCGCGUGAGUGAUGAAGGUUUUCGGAUCGUAAAGCUCUGUUGUUAGGGAAGAACAAGUGCGAGAGUAACUGCUCGCACCUUGACGGUACCUAACCAGAAAGCCACGGCUAACUACGUGCCAGCAGCCGCGGUAAUACGUAGGUGGCAAGCGUUGUCCGGAAUUAUUGGGCGUAAAGGGCUCGCAGGCGGUUUCUUAAGUCUGAUGUGAAAGCCCCCGGCUCAACCGGGGAGGGUCAUUGGAAACUGGGAAACUUGAGUGCAGAAGAGGAGAGUGGAAUUCCACGUGUAGCGGUGAAAUGCGUAGAGAUGUGGAGGAACACCAGUGGCGAAGGCGACUCUCUGGUCUGUAACUGACGCUGAGGAGCGAAAGCGUGGGGGAGCGAACAGGAUUAGAUACCCUGGUAGUCCACGCCGUAAACGAUGAGUGCUAAGUGUUAGGGGGUUUCCGCCCCUUUAGUGCUGCAGCUAACGCAUUAAGCACUCCGCCUGGGGGAGUACGGUCGCAAGACUGAAACUCAAGGAAUUUGACGGGGGCCCGCACAGCGGUUGGAGCAUGUGGUUUUAUUUCGAGCAACGCGAAGAACUUACCAGGUCGUGGACAUCUCUGACACCUUAGAAGAUAGGGCUUCCUUCGGAAGAUGACAGUGGUGCAUGGAUGUCGUCAGCUCUGUCGUGAGAUGUGGGAUAGUCAGCACGACGCAGCGUGACUAGCUGCAGCAUUCAGUUGGUCAGUCGUGAGAUGAACUGUCCGUGUA
This 1127-nucleotide ribosomal RNA is filed under the name Bacillus safensis. Its description in RNAcentral is "bacterial SSU rRNA". It matches the Rfam family "Bacterial small subunit ribosomal RNA", at positions 35 to 1159 of the family's 1533-position model. Lineage: Bacteria; Bacillati; Bacillota; Bacilli; Caryophanales; Bacillaceae. The record is from RNAcentral.